RNAcentral lists this unclassified non-coding RNA (357 nucleotides) under soil metagenome. Its description in RNAcentral is "partial contains 5.8S ribosomal RNA, internal transcribed spacer 2, and large subunit ribosomal RNA". The stretch from base 1 to 120 matches the Rfam family "5.8S ribosomal RNA", at positions 35 to 154 of the family's 154-position model. The record is from RNAcentral.
GAUGAAGAACGUAGCGAAAUGCGAUAAGUAAUGUGAAUUGCAGAAUUCAGUGAAUCAUCGAAUCUUUGAACGCACAUUGCGCCCGCUGGUAUUCCGGCGGGCAUGCCUGUUCGAGCGUCAUUUCAACCCUCAAGCACUCCGGAGUUUGGUGUUGGGGCGCCUGGGGCUUUUCGACCUCAGGGCCCUCAAGUCCAUCGGCGGGACCGCCAGGACACUGAGCGCAGUAGUAUUAUUUCGCUCGGUAGGAUAUUCCACGGCGGGUCGAUCUGGCCGCUAAACCCCCCAAUUCUCACCAAAGGUUGACCUCGGAUCAGGUAGGAAUACCCGCUGAACUUAAGCAUAUCAAUAAGCGGAGGA